This 357-nucleotide ribosomal RNA is filed under the name Ostreococcus mediterraneus. Its description in RNAcentral is "partial Eukaryotic large subunit ribosomal RNA". It matches the Rfam family "Eukaryotic large subunit ribosomal RNA", at positions 2975 to 3345 of the family's 3401-position model. Lineage: Eukaryota; Viridiplantae; Chlorophyta; Mamiellophyceae; Mamiellales; Bathycoccaceae. The record is from RNAcentral.
GAGACAGGUUAGUUUUACCCUACUGAUGACCUUGCCCCAAUGGUAAUACCGCUUAGUACGAGAGGAACCGCGGUUUCAGAUAAUUGGUUUUUGCGGCUGUCUGACCAGGCAUUGCCGCGAAGCUACCAUCUGCUGGAUUAUGGCUGAACGCCUCUAAGUCAGAAUCCAUGCCAGAACGGGGUGAUUUCCGCCUGCACCAGUCGGAUACGAAUAGGCCUUUGGCCCAGAACCUUACCAGGCCGGCGUUGACAGUCUCAUUGAAAUUGGGGCUGUUAGCCGGCGUAUUGCAAUUGUACAGUGCGCAGGAUUGAAUCCUUUGCAGACGACUUAGUUGUCUAGCCGGGUCGUGUAAGUAGU